Long non-coding RNA from Melanotaenia boesemani (Boeseman's rainbowfish), 217 nucleotides. RefSeq lists it as uncharacterized. The transcript is spliced from 3 exons. The record is from RefSeq and is a predicted model, not a curated record. Lineage: Eukaryota; Metazoa; Chordata; Actinopteri; Atheriniformes; Melanotaeniidae.
GCUCCUGUUUGCGGUUGACACCUGUCCACCCCAUACAAUCUGUAAGACUCCAACUACUAACAUGGCCAAGACCAAAGAGCUGUCCAAAGACACCAAAGACAAAAUUGUAGACCUCCACAAGGCUGGAAAGGGCUACGGGGCAAUUGCCAAGCAGCUUGGUGAAAAAAGAUCCACUGUAGGAGCAAUCAUUAGAAAAUGGAAGAAGCUAAACAUGACU